CCGGUGGGGGGGGUCUAAUACAUGCAGUCGAGCGAAUGGAUUAAGAGCUUGCUCUUAUGAAGUUAGCGGCGGACGGGUGAGUAACACGUGGGUAACCUGCCCAUAAGACUGGGAUAACUCCGGGAAACCGGGGCUAAUACCGGAUAACAUUUUGAACUGCAUGGUUCGAAAUUGAAAGGCGGCUUCGGCUGUCACUUAUGGAUGGACCCGCGUCGCAUUAGCUAGUUGGUGAGGUAACGGCUCACCAAGGCAACGAUGCGUAGCCGACCUGAGAGGGUGAUCGGCCACACUGGGACUGAGACACGGCCCAGACUCCUACGGGAGGCAGCAGUAGGGAAUCUUCCGCAAUGGACGAAAGUCUGACGGAGCAACGCCGCGUGAGUGAUGAAGGCUUUCGGGUCGUAAAACUCUGUUGUUAGGGAAGAACAAGUGCUAGUUGAAUAAGCUGGCACCUUGACGGUACCUAACCAGAAAGCCACGGCUAACUACGUGCCAGCAGCCGCGGUAAUACGUAGGUGGCAAGCGUUAUCCGGAAUUAUUGGGCGUAAAGCGCGCGCAGGUGGUUUCUUAAGUCUGAUGUGAAAGCCCACGGCUCAACCGUGGAGGGUCAUUGGAAACUGGGAGACUUGAGUGCAGAAGAGGAAAGUGGAAUUCCAUGUGUAGCGGUGAAAUGCGUAGAGAUAUGGAGGAACACCAGUGGCGAAGGCGACUUUCUGGUCUGUAACUGACACUGAGGCGCGAAAGCGUGGGGAGCAAACAGGAUUAGAUACCCUUGGUAGUCCUAA
Molecule: ribosomal RNA, 785 nt
Filed under: Bacillus cereus
Lineage: Bacteria; Bacillati; Bacillota; Bacilli; Caryophanales; Bacillaceae
Description: bacterial SSU rRNA
Rfam family: Bacterial small subunit ribosomal RNA
Source: RNAcentral